RNAcentral lists this ribosomal RNA (253 nucleotides) under uncultured bacterium. Its description in RNAcentral is "partial 16S ribosomal RNA". It matches the Rfam family "Bacterial small subunit ribosomal RNA", at positions 524 to 776 of the family's 1533-position model. The record is from RNAcentral.
UACGUAGGUGGCAAGCGUUGUCCGGAUUUAUUGGGUUUAAAGGGUGCGUAGGCGGUCCCAUAAGUCAGUGGUGAAAUACUCUAGCUUAACUAGAGGGGUGCCAUUGAUACUGUGGGACUUGAGUAGAGUUGAAGUGGGCGGAAUUGACGGUGUAGCGGUGAAAUGCUUAGAUAUCGUCAAGAACACCGAUAGUGAAGACAGCUCACUAAGCUCAAACUGACGCUGAGGCACGAAAGUGUGGGGAUCAAACAGG